GGUCUGGUUUAAUUGGAAAAUGUUUGUUUUGCGAACAAAAGAUUCUUAAGUUCAAUUCUUCAGCUAACCA
RNAcentral lists this transfer RNA (70 nucleotides) under Ophiophagus hannah (king cobra). It matches the Rfam family "tRNA". From Rfam's summary of the family: Transfer RNA (tRNA) molecules are approximately 80 nucleotides in length. Their secondary structure includes four short double-helical elements and three loops (D, anti-codon, and T loops). The record is from Rfam by way of RNAcentral. Lineage: Eukaryota; Metazoa; Chordata; Lepidosauria; Squamata; Elapidae.